RNAcentral lists this ribosomal RNA (497 nucleotides) under uncultured bacterium. RNAcentral's name for it is "partial 16S ribosomal RNA". It matches the Rfam family "Bacterial small subunit ribosomal RNA", at positions 28 to 507 of the family's 1533-position model. The record is from RNAcentral.
GAUGAACGCUGGCGGCGUGCCUAAUACAUGCAAGUCGAGCGAACGGACGAGAAGCUUGCUUCUCUGAUGUUAGCGGCGGACGGGUGAGUAACACGUGGAUAACCUACCUAUAAGACUGGGAUAACUUCGGGAAACCGGAGCUAAUACCGGAUGAUAUUUUGAACCGCAUGGUUCAAAAGUGAAAGACGGUCUUGCUGUCACUUAUAGAUGGAUCCGCGCUGCAUUAGCUAGUUGGUAAGGUAACGGCUUACCAAGGCAACGAUGCAUAGCCGACCUGAGAGGGUGAUCGGCCACACUGGAACUGAGACACGGUCCAGACUCCUACGGGAGGCAGCAGUAGGGAAUCUUCCGCAAUGGGCGAAAGCCUGACUGAGCAACGCCGCGUGAGUGAUGAAGGUCUUCGGAUCGUAAAACUCUGUUAUUAGGGAAGAACAUAUGUGUAAGUAACUGUGCACAUCUUGACGGUACCUAAUCAGAAAGCCGCGGCUAACUACGUG